RNAcentral lists this ribosomal RNA (262 nucleotides) under uncultured bacterium. Its description in RNAcentral is "partial small subunit ribosomal RNA". It matches the Rfam family "Bacterial small subunit ribosomal RNA", at positions 26 to 291 of the family's 1533-position model. The record is from RNAcentral.
AGGACGAACGCUGGCGGCGUGCAUAACACAUGCAAGUCAAGGGGGUCAGUAGCAAUACUGGCAACCGGCGAACGGGUGCGUAACACGUAAGCGACCUACCUCGAUGUGGGGCAUAGCCGGCCUAACGGCCGGGUAAUUCCGCAUAAGAUCCUGAAGGGGCAUCUCUUCGGGAUGAAACCAGUAAUGGGCGUCGAGAGGGGCUUGCGGCCUAUCAGCUAGUUGGUGAGGUAACGGCUCACCAAGGCUACGACGGGUAGCUGGU